RNAcentral lists this ribosomal RNA (219 nucleotides) under uncultured prokaryote. RNAcentral describes it as "partial 16S ribosomal RNA". It matches the Rfam family "Bacterial small subunit ribosomal RNA", at positions 524 to 742 of the family's 1533-position model. The record is from RNAcentral.
UACGAAGGACCCGAGCGUUAUCCGGAUUUAUUGGGUUUAAAGGGUCCGUAGGCGGUUUGGUAAGUCAGUGGUGAAAGCCCAUCGCUCAACGGUGGAACGGCCAUUGAUACUGCCAGACUUGAAUUACUGGGAAGUAGCUAGAAUAUGUAGUGUAGCGGUGAAAUGCUUAGAGAUUACAUGGAAUACCAAUUGCGAAGGCAGGUUACUACUAGUGGAUUG